AUUAUUAUCUAUUUACUGUGAACUGUAUUAUUAUUUGACAUUUGAGGGAUGUUCCAAUGUUAUAAGGAUAGACAUUGGAAAUGUUAACCGAGUCAUAAUCAGGUUUAGGCCUGGUAUCCUAUUAUUAUUUACCAAAUGAAUUCAGAAUUAAUAUUGUAACAUAGACCUAAAAAAUCUAUAAAACAACUUUUAACAACGGAUCUCUUGGUUCUCGCAUCGAUGAAGAACGUAGCAAAGUGCGAUAACUAGUGUGAAUUGCAUAUUCAGUGAAUCAUCGAGUCUUUGAACGCAACUUGCGCUCAUUGGUAUUCCAAUGAGCACGCCUGUUUCAGUAUCAAAACAAACCCUCUAUCCAACUUUUGUUGUAUAGGAUUAUUGGGGGCCUCUCGAUCUGUAUAGAUCUUGAAAUCCCUGAAAUUUACUAAGGCCUGAACUUGUUUAAAUGCCUGAACUUUUUUUUAAUAUAAAGGAAAGCUCUUGUAAUUGACUUUGAUGGGGCCUCCCAAAUAAAUCUUUUUUAAAUUUGAUCUGAAAUCAGGCGGGAUUACCCGCUGAACUUAAGCAUAUCAAUAAGGCGGAGGAAAA
Molecule: ribosomal RNA, 585 nt
Filed under: Mucor racemosus
Lineage: Eukaryota; Fungi; Mucoromycota; Mucoromycetes; Mucorales; Mucoraceae
Description: eukaryotic LSU rRNA
Rfam family: 5.8S ribosomal RNA (bases 185-337)
Source: RNAcentral